AGUGAACGCUGGCGGUAGGCCUAACACAUGCAAGUCGAACGGCAGCACAGUAAGAGCUUGCUCUUACGGGUGGCGAGUGGCGGACGGGUGAGGAAUACAUCGGAAUCUACUUUUUCGUGGGGGAUAACGUAGGGAAACUUACGCUAAUACCGCAUCGGACUUACGGGUGAAAGCAGGGGAUCUUCGGACCUUGCGCGAUUGAAUGGGCCGAUGUCGGAUUAGCUAGUUGGCGGGGUAAAGGCCCACCAAGGCGACGAUCCGUAGCUGGUCUGAGAGGAUGAUCAGCCACACUGGAACUGAGACACGGUCCAGACUCCUACGGGAGGCAGCAGUGGGGAAUAUUGGACAAUGGGCGCAAGCCUGAUCCAGCCAUACCGCGUGGGUGAAGAAGGCCUUCGGGUUGUAAAGCCCUUUUGUUGGGAAAGAAAAGCAGCAGGUUAAUACCCCGCUGUUCUGACGGUACCCAAAGAAUAAGCACCGGCUAACUUCGUG
This 492-nucleotide ribosomal RNA is filed under the name uncultured bacterium. Its description in RNAcentral is "partial 16S ribosomal RNA". It matches the Rfam family "Bacterial small subunit ribosomal RNA", at positions 29 to 507 of the family's 1533-position model. The record is from RNAcentral.